This is a long non-coding RNA of Peromyscus maniculatus bairdii (prairie deer mouse), 4109 nucleotides long. RefSeq lists it as uncharacterized. NCBI's taxonomy places the organism in Eukaryota, Metazoa, Chordata, Mammalia, Rodentia, Cricetidae. The record is from RefSeq and is a predicted model, not a curated record.
UCAACUUAUGCCAGAAGAGGGCAUCAGAUCCCACUCUAGAUGGUUUUGAGCUACCAGGCGGUUGCUGGGAAUUGAACUCCAGACCUCCGGACCUCUUAGCCGCUGAGCCAUUGCUCCAGCCCCAGAGGAGUCCUUGAAGAACGCACAGGGCAUGCUCUGCCCCGACCAAGUGUGCCAUCCCUCCUCUAGGACGAAGCUGCCGGGGAGCGCUGCCUGCAAAGACUGAGUCCUGCCGCGAAGGGAGAAAGGAGACACUGGAGGUCAGGGCUAGGAGACGAGCCGGGGUGGGUGAAGCUCUGCGAAGACUUCAGGGCGCAGCGAGCCUUUCUAUGAAGUGCGGUCUAGAGCCCUUGCUUCUUUUUAGUAAUUAAAAAAAAAAGGUUAUGUGUGUGGAUGUUUUCCUUGCAAGCAUGUCUGUGCACCAUCUGAGCGACGGCCAUGAGAGAAGAGGACAUGGAGUUAUAGACAGAUGUGCGCCGCCAUGUGGGUGCCAGGCGUCCAGCUGCGGGGGGGCCCGGAAGCACUGAGCCACCUCUCCAGCUACCCCGCCCAAUCCAGGGCCUGGACAGCCGGUUUCUAUGACAACAGCUUCCCUGCAGGUUUUCCUAAGGUAAAGGGGACUGCAAUAGUCAUCACGGUGACUGCAGCAGGUGACGGCAUCCAUGCUGAGUGCCCUCCCUUGUGACAAGGAAUGCCAGAAGCUUUGGAGGAAACAUAUGCCCCUUCCUGGGGCUUGGAGCAAAUCUUCAACCCACCCUGGGAACAGUGCAGGCCUAUACCCUGGUCAAUGAGAAUAAGGCUGGGGCAGAGAGGGCAUCAUACCAGCCCUCCACCUGCUGUUUGCUGAAGGCGGAGCAUUCCGAGGCUAGGACUCAGUCAUGUCACCUGUCCAUCUCAGGCCUCCCCUGUGCUAAGGAUCAGCACACUGUCAACUGUCACUGAGCUGCUGAGCUGGCGGCCUCUGCCCCAUGGUCAGGGUGGUGCACUGGGAUCCGCAAUCAGCCUGUAACCAGCAAAAAAUGCCAAUGUCUCUGUUGAGCGCCUUGUUCAAAACAGUGGGCCCCAAGGGUGGAGCUGGGGUUACUUCACCUGAAGAGAAGUUUCCAAGGGAAGGAGGCCAGGGCAUUGUUCCAUCCCAUAGGUCCAAAGACCAGAGUACAAGUUGUGAGGAUCCAGUUUCCUCAGCUGGGGACGACAGGAGUGCUUGGCAGUGGCCCUCACUCCUCACUGGCCCAGUUAGCUGAAUUGUCAACAGGGUGUGCAGACAGACUUGGGGACAAGCUGGGGACAGACACAGGGUUUGGUUUGCUGCAGGAGACACUCUCUGUUCCUUGUGUGUGUGUGGGGUGGGGGCAGGUACCUUCGGGAGAGAAGCUGAGGAGGAAAACUGUGCACUGGAGUGCAGUUGUAAACCAGGCACCCCACCCACCUCCCAGGCAGUGGCAAGGCCUGGGGAAGCCGGGAGAGCCAGGGGCGCUCUGUGUGCAUGGCACAGCACAGAAGGAAGGGGCUGCAUUGGAUGGGAGCCCCGGGUCAUGCUGGCUGAGGCACAGAGAGAAGAGCUAGGUAGGCCUGAGGGGGCCCCCAAGCCUCACCCUCUGGGGCCUCUGCUCCCUACCCAGCCACUAGAUGCCUGGGCAUCUGGAAAAUCUCACAAUCAGCCAGAGAGUAGAAAAAAUACCUUUUUAUUAAUUAUUAGGAAUAAAUCAUUCAUUUAAUGCAGGGUGUGUGUCGGGGUGAGCUAAGCGUUUCCACGUGGACAAAGGGAAACGUGCAGGACAGUGGUCGGAGGGGACAUCCCCACUGCCCAGACCAUAGACAGCAAACAUGAACAGAGAGAAUCACGAAGUGCCCCCUCACGUCCCCUCCCAUCUUGUCCUUCCAGCAGAGUCUAAACAGGGUCCCUAGAGGUGCCAGGGCAUCUGGAAGUGCUGGGCCGGGAGCGGGGUGCAGUGUGUGGCUUCAAAGUUGUGUAGGUGCUUCCGGGCCUGAGGAGGAAAGGCAGAGCGUGGGUGCGGGGCAACCCCUCGGAACCCUCCGCCACUGUAGGACCCCGCGCCCAAGGCCUGCAUGGCCCCUCCAUUCAGGCCCCCCCUUCACCCCACUCCUGCGCUCACCAGGAACAGCGCCAGCUGCCUCCGUCCAUCGGUACUCAUGUCCUCCCCUGCGGAGGAGAAAAGGCCUCAAGUCCACCAUCGGGUCCGCCCUCCCCCUCUCACCCCGCCAUGCCGCCGACCGGCCGGGGGAGGCCUCCUUACCCACACUCCAGGGGAAGUCGGGCCCAUGCUCUGCCUGGUAGGAGUGAAGCACGGACAGACACCAGUCCUCCUCCACCUCCCACCGGCUGUAAACUGAGGCUGGUCAGGGAGAAACAGGAGUGUGGGCCACAGCCCUCCUCACCCCCCCCCCCCCCCCCCCACCCCCCCCCCCCCCCCCCCCCCCCGUGCCGUCUCAGCACCGAGGUGUGUCCACCCCCAGCCCUCACCUCACUCCCCCCACUCCACCCCACCCCGGUGCCGUCUCAGCACCAAGGUGUGUCCAUCCCCAGCCCUCACCCCCCCAUUCCCCCCCCACCCCCAGUGCCGUCUCAGCACCGAGGUGUGUCCACCCCCAGCUCUCACCGGAACUGCAGGAGCUUCAGCAGGAGGUCAUUGCCUCUGUUGGACAUGAUGUCCUCAGGAACCCUGGGGGCAACAAGCGUUACCUGCUUAGGGGAGCUGGGGAACAAGAGUCUGGGGACCUAGGGACACGGUGGGCACAGGUGGAGGGGAAGGAGGCCAGGCACUCACGUGGUGGUGAUUAUCUCAUCCUUGGUUCUCCGGAUCAGCAGCACUGGGCCCUGGAACCUUCAGGACAGAGCAGCAGGAGAGGAGAGCUCAGAGACAGCCAGGCCACCACUGAGCAGAGCGAGAGAUUGAAGAAGGGUGCAGGCCCAGACUGGCCCCGGGGAAGGCCCCUGCGGAGCCAGGCUUAACCCUCAUUGCCAGAUCACCAGUGAGGAGACCCGGGGUCUCACAGGACCUGGGAAGGGUUGGACCAGCGAAGGUGGUGGCAGAGUGACUUGGGACAUGGGCCGGUGGCCACUUCCGCUCUUCCCCUCGGCACAUCUCCACACCCAGGCGCCCGCGGCCUGCCCUCACCUGCACAGCUGCUCCGAGUUGUUGAGGUUGAGGUGCUGUCUCACCGUCCUGGUCACCAGGACUCCUGGAGUGGGACAAGUGAGGGCGGCAGAGGUGAAGACCCCGCCUAACAAAAGGCUGGCCCGUCCAUGGGGCCGGACCUCGUCAGAAGAGCCCCUGGGCUGGCCACCCUCCCCUGGAAGGACAGACAUGGGCGCUGCACUCACUCCAGCUGUCCGGCAUGACCUUCAAGGCCAAGGGCACCAAGUCAUCGAAGGAGGCGUCCAGGAUGACAGCACUGAUGUCUGGGUAGGACAUGGCUGCCCACGUGGCUGGGAGAACGGGAGGGGACGAGGGACGCUCAGAGGUGCAGAUAGGCGCCUCUCACUUGGGUCCCUCUUACCCACUCAGCCUUUCCCCGGAAGCCUCCACCCCCACCGCCUGUGCCCACAUCUCCUAGGCAGGGACAGGACUCCGUAAGGGGAUUAGCUGGGGCGGCAGCAGGUACCGGUGAAACCUCCGAUGGACCAGGCGUAGAUGACAAUGUCCUGGGGCUGGAAGCCCAGGCGGUGGAUGGCAAACUGAACUACCACAUCCAUGGCGUUGGCCUCAUUUUGUGGGAACGGCACCCCCUGCAGGAAGACGGGCAGAUGCGGGACGGGUCAGCCAGAGGACAGCUCACCUAUCAGGCAGCCACCCUGUAACACAGAGAUUCGUGACCCCCUGUGUCCCUCUGCCUGUCAUGGGAGGAGGGGCUGCAGCCCCCAGGGCUUCCCGGAACCCAGGUCACGGCCACGUGGAAGGCAGGCCGCACACGGGCACCCCAGGUCACGGCCAUGUGGAAGGCAGGCCGCACACGGGCACCCCAGGUCACGGCCAUGUGGAAGGCAGGCCGCACACGGGCACCAGCUUCCUUCUUCCCAUGACUGACCAGAGGAAGACACACACGAUUCUGGAAAAGGCCGGGUCUCCAGAGGUCUCACCGUGCUU